UUGGUAUCACAGCACUCUAAUGAGGGUGACCCCUCUCCUCUCCCUGCCUCACAUCCAGCAGCUAUGGGGCUUGAGAUCUGGACCCAGUGCCUUUUGCUGCAGGCUCAUUGAAAAGAGAAUGUGGCAGAAAGCCCCCUCCUCAGGUGGGGCCAUGACCAUACCUGGAUGACAGUUGAUUCUGCCCAUCCUUCUAGAAUGAUCUGUUUACCAGUCCUGGAACCACUUCUGCUUACCAAUGAGGAAAGAUAAGAGCAUGAAAGGACUGUGCAUAUCCAUCACCAGAUAGACUACAGCGGCUCAAGAAAGCAGCUCACCAUCAACUUCUCACGGACAAUUAGAGAAUCCAACAUUUAUUAAGUCAAGCGCAUAUCUGUGAUUUUCCACAUGAUUCUACCAUGUCAACAUCCUUGGAAGCCAGGAUCACAACAAACCAUCGCAAACCUGAGAGGAGGAGGAGCAAGUGCCUGCUCAACUUGUGGUGACUGGGGAAAGUGUGGAGCUUGAAAAGGAGGACUGGAAGUCCAUACAGUCAGGUGGUGAGAGGCAAUCCCCGACCCAGGA
This is a long non-coding RNA of Carcharodon carcharias (great white shark), 561 nucleotides long. RefSeq lists it as uncharacterized. NCBI's taxonomy places the organism in Eukaryota, Metazoa, Chordata, Chondrichthyes, Lamniformes, Lamnidae. The transcript has 4 exons. The record is from RefSeq and is a predicted model, not a curated record.